GGGGGAUAACGCAGCGAAAGCUGUGCUAAUACCGCAUACGAUCUAAGGAUGAAAGCGGGGGAUCGCAAGACCUCGCGCGAGUGGAGCGGCCGAUAUCAGAUUAGCUAGUUGGUGAGGUAAAGGCUCACCAAGGCGACGAUCUGUAGCUGGUCUGAGAAGACGACCAGCCACACUGGAACUGAGACACGGUCCAGACUCCUACGGGAGGCAGCAGUGGGGAAUUUUGGACAAUGGGCGCAAGCCUGAUCCAGCAAUGCCGCGUGCAGGAUGAAGGCCUUCGGGUUGUAAACUGCUUUUGUACGGAGCGAAAAGGUUCUCUCUAAUAAAGAGGGCUCAUGACGGUACCGUAAGAAUAAGCACCGGCUAACUACGUGCCAGCAGCCGCGGUAAUACGUAGGGUGCGAGCGUUAAUCGGAAUUACUGGGCGUAAAGCGUGCGCAGGCGGUGAUGUAAGACAGAUGUGAAAUCCCCGGGCUCAACCUGGGACCUGCAUUUGUGACUGCAUUGCUAGAGUACGGUAGAGGGGGAUGGAAUUCCGCGUGUAGCAGUGAAAUGCGUAGAUAUGCGGAGGAACACCGAUGGCGAAGGCAAUCCCCUGGACCUGUACUGACGCUCAUGCACGAAAGCGUGGGGAGCAAACAGGAUUAGAUACCCUGGUAGUCCACGCCCUAAACGAUGUCAACUGGUUGUUGGGUCUUUGCUGACUCAGUAACGAAGCUAACGCGUGAAGUGACCGCC
RNAcentral lists this ribosomal RNA (738 nucleotides) under uncultured beta proteobacterium. RNAcentral's name for it is "bacterial SSU rRNA". It matches the Rfam family "Bacterial small subunit ribosomal RNA", at positions 138 to 873 of the family's 1533-position model. Lineage: Bacteria; Pseudomonadati; Pseudomonadota; Betaproteobacteria. The record is from RNAcentral.